RNAcentral lists this ribosomal RNA (300 nucleotides) under uncultured Staphylothermus sp. RNAcentral's name for it is "bacterial SSU rRNA". The stretch from base 52 to 300 matches the Rfam family "Bacterial small subunit ribosomal RNA", at positions 547 to 795 of the family's 1533-position model. The record is from RNAcentral. Lineage: Archaea; Thermoproteati; Thermoproteota; Thermoprotei; Desulfurococcales; Desulfurococcaceae.
GACAACCAGAGGACAGGUGAGGCGGAACUACGCAGGACGCGCGAGGGGUCAGGAAUUAUUGGGGUUAAAGGGCUCGUAGGCGAUUCGUCACGUCGGGAGUGAAAAGGCGGGGCUGAAGCCCGAGCCUGCUUGCGGUACGGUCAGACGAGAGGUAGGCAGGGGAGGGCGAAACUCCUGGUGUAGCGGGGGAAUGCGCAGAUAUCAGGAAGAACACCGGUGGCGAAGGCGGCUCUCUGGGCCUUACCUGACGCUGAGGAGCGAAAGCGUGGGUAGCGAACAGGAUUAGAUACCCCGGUAGUC